CAUUUAUGGCAGAUGGUCAAAUGGACAAAUCAAGAACAGUCCAGGAAAUCCAGUUUGUAACCUUGGACCUGCAUGACAGUUCAAGAAAACAUCACCAGAAAACAUCAGCAGCUGACAGAAGAAAUUUGCUUCUUAAGCAGCAGAUCUGACUGGAAGAGAAAUGUUGAAACUCUUCAAUGGCACUUAUUGGCCUGGGCCACCACUGCUGGUGUUUAGUCAAUUUCACACAGCACUAUACUAGAGAAAAGUCACAGGUGUAUGCUGCUUGUUUGGACCAGAUAUACAGUGCAGCAUAUUUAAUGUGACACCUGAGCGCAUGCCAAAGCAAUAUUCCUGUUGUGCUGUUUGUAGUUGUGAUGGGAAAUAGUCAUGCACACUGCUGGAGCAUAAAAUGUAAGCUCUACAAAUAAAAUACAGCAAAUGGA
Clarias gariepinus (North African catfish) is the source of this 425-nucleotide long non-coding RNA. RefSeq lists it as uncharacterized. Lineage: Eukaryota; Metazoa; Chordata; Actinopteri; Siluriformes; Clariidae. The transcript is spliced from 2 exons. The record is from RefSeq and is a predicted model, not a curated record.